UUGAGUUUCGGCAAGUGAGGUCAUAAAAAGUAGCAGGCUUGCCCAGAUCGCUGAUAGGCAGACUUGCCGGCCCACCCUGGAUGGAGGAGGCCCUGUGGACCUCCGGUGGGGCAGAGUACCGACCCAAAGACCCUCCGGCCCCGCAGCCUCCGGCUGUCCGCAGUUCCUCCAGUUAUUACCACUCAGCCAUCCUUUGCAUGCAUGCAACCAGUUUCUAUUUUUGUGUAGGGCAGAGCCUUUCAGGCAAAUGGAAGCGCCUUACCCCUGCCACAAGGUAGGACCACUCCAUGGAAACAAAUGAGCAUUUAUUUCAUCAAAGGCUUCCCGGAGACCAGGCAUCUUACCAAGCUCAGAGGACCCUUAGGAGCUCCUUGGAGGUGGUGGAGGAAGCUAGAUGAGGAGGGGGAGCUCAGUGCCCCGCUUCUGGUUGGAACAGAGCAGAAGUGUGUAUGUUUCAACAGACGAAUGGAUAAACAAAAUGCCGUCUCUCCAUACAAUGGAAUAUUCUUCAGACAUGAAAAGGAAUGAAGUACUGACAUGCUACAACGAGGAGGAACUCCAAAAGCCUCACCCGAAGUGAAAGAAGCCAGGCACAAAAGGGACAUGGAUGAAGCUGGAAGCCAUCAUCCUCAGCAAACUAACACAGGAACAGAAAACCAAACACCGCAUGUUCUCACUCAUAAGUGGCAGUUGAACAUUGAGAACACAUGGACACAGAGAGGGGAACAACAUACACCAGGGCCUGUUGGGGGAUGGGGGUGAGAAGCGGGAAGUUGGAGGAUGGGUCAAUAGAUGCAGCAAACCACCAUGGCACACAUAUACCUAUGUAACAAACCUGCACGUUCUGCACAUGUAUCCUGUUUUUUUUUUUAGAAGAAAUAAAUAAAUAAAACGAAUGAGGUCUACUUUUACAUUAAAAAAAAAAAAAGAAUUCCACUACCAGGUUAAAAAAAAUGUUUGGAGGGAUGAGAGACAAGACUGUUUGCCUCUUCCCCCUCAAAAAAACCACAGAAGAAUUUUUCUUUUUCUUUUUCUUUUCUUUGUCUUUUUUUUUUUUUUUUUUUUGAGACAGUUUCACUCUGUCACUCAGGCUGGAUGAAGUGCAGUGGCGCGAUCUCGGCUCACUGAAACCUCUGCCUCUAGGGUUCAAGCGAUUCUCCUGCCUCAGCCUCCCUAGUAGCUGGGACUACAGGCACCCACCACCACGCCAGACUAACUUUUGUAUUUUAAGCAGAGACCGGGUUUUGCCAUGUUGGCCAGGUUGGUCUCCAACUCCUAGGCUCAAGCGAUCCGCCUGCCUCAGCCUCCCAAAGUGCUGGGAUUACAGGCAUAAGCCACUAUGCCUGGCCACAGAAGAAUUUUUCUAAGAAGGAGAAUCUUAUUAGGCAAAAUGUCUUGAAUGAGCCAAUUGGGAAUGGCGGCAAGUCUUCAACAGGCGGCAAAACACAGGGAAAGCCCUGGCAAAGGAAGGAGAAGAACUAGGGGCUACUCCUGAGGACUGGCAGGGAGGGAGGGAGAGAAGAUGGCUCACCAAAACGGCGGCGGCACAGGGGACUUCGCAGGCGACGCAUGUGCAAUCUUCCAUCUGUGUGCGCUGCUGUGAUGUAAAAUCCAAAAAGCACCCUCCAGAAACCACUUUCCAGAAACCACCCUCCAGAAACUGUCAACUCUGCGGCCCACACGAAUGCCUGGGGUGAUUGGGGCUUCUGUGAGAGCGCGAAUGCUCUGAGCAGAGAGGAGAGGCUGCUCUGGUCAGCUCCGGCUGCUGUAACACCACCACAGAUUCGGUGGCUUCAGCAAGUUAUUGUCUCAUCUUCCUGGAGGCUGGACGUUCGAGAUCAAGGUUUUGGCCGGAAUAAUUUAGAUUGUUAGUGCUGGAAGAAACUUGAAGACCACCCUCUCCAAAGCCUCUUUUUACAGAUGAGGAAGCUGAGGCCUAGAGGUUGGAAAUGAUUUACCCAACAUCCCACAGUCUUCCAGUUCCAAGGCUGGAACCAGAACUGGCUUCACACAGGCUUGCCUUCUCUCAUCUCGACCAGGGCCCUACAGGCUCUGAAUUGCUUCUCCAGACCAGACCAGCAAGCUCAGAUCAGAACUGCGUUUUCUGCCAUGGCAUUGCUCCCCAGCCACAGAGGGCUCGGGCAGUCGGGUUCUGUGUCAGUGGAGGACAUGGUCCAAGUUGUGUUUGCUCAUCGAGGGGGAGCUCAGGUUCACCUGACCCAGCAGCUCCCGUGGCUGCUUGACAAACCCAGCGACCUAAGCCCAUUGCUAUUCACAGAUAGCCCAGCCCUCAUCCUAGGGCCAUCAGGAGACCUCAGCUUCUUUCUCCAGUGACUGAAUUCAGUGCUCUAACUCCCUACCUUGCACAGCUGAGCAUGGAGCUACUAAUAGCUCUGUUAUCAUGUUCCCGUUUUAAUACAAACAAACAGCCGUAGCCCAGGAAAGAGAUUUGUUAGAGAGGUUGCUUGCCUUCUGCUCUGGCAGGAGACCUUCACAGCACCAAGCACCUGGCUGCUCUGUGGGGUUUGAGUGAAAUGAUGACUCUUCCUUCACACUCUCCCCUUAGCCUGCUGUUUUCUUCCUUUCCUCCACCUUGGAGGCCACCUAGAAAUUUUGAUGUAGAAAAUUCCAAUCUUGUAGAAUAUCAGGGCUGGGAAAACCUCAGAGAGUCCCUGCUCUCAUGACCCAGUGAUCAGACACAGGACUGACAUAUCCAGCCCUCUGCUCGUGAGAGGCUGGGCCGGUUAUUAGUUACUGCUUGUCAUCUCCAAAUCCCCCACAUUCAGAUGUUGGGGGACUCUGCAAGCCCCAUUUCUGCUUUGCCAACUGCUCUUCAAGAAGCUCUGCCAGGAGGGGCCAGAGGCCAGACACACUCCUUCCGGUCUGUUUCUUGUUUCUAUGAGCAGCACCGUGGCCCACUGCUUCACCCAGGCAGUAGCAGUUCCCUCCCUCAGCAGUGAAAGAACCGAGUUUGCAGUUUUACUGAUUCCUGCAGCACCCCCACAUGGUGCUCCCUCAAGGAUGCCAGCUCCAGCCACCUGGAGCCCCCUCCAUGGAGCUCUGAGGUUCACUUCUGUGGGGCUCCUCCUCUAAUCUUCCAAAUUUUAAUAAUUUCAACUUCUACUCUUUGCUCCCCCAGGCUUAAGGGUGGUAGCUGCUUUCUGAAGUUGCUACCUUCCAUUACACCUGAGAGUUUGCUUUUUGCCUUUCUACUUACAUAGAUAACAAUUCUUCAUAUAUUGAAUUCUAUUAAAAUAACUGGGAGGUUUGGCUGGGAGUGGUGGCUCAUGCUUGUAAUCCUAGCACUUUGGGAGGCCAAGGCAGGCCGAUCACCUGAGGUCAAGAGUUCGAGAUCAGCCUGGCCAACAUGGCGAAACCCCAUCUUUUUUUUUUUUUUUUUUUUUGAGACGGAGUCUUGCUCUGGCACCAGGCUGGAGUGCAGUGGCGUGAUCUCGGCUCACUGCAACCCCCGCCUCCUGGGUUCAAGCGAUUCUCCAGCCUCAGCCUCCUGAGUAGCUGGGAUUACAGGCAUGUGCCACCACACCCAGCUAAUUUUUGUAUUUUUAGUAGAGAUGGGGUUUCACCAUGUUUGCCAGGAUUGUCUCAAUCUCCUGACCUCAUGAUCCACCCGCCUUGGCCUCCCAAAGUGCUGGGAUUACAGGCAUGAGCUACCGUGUCCGGCCAGGGUGAAGCCCCAUCUUUACUAAAAAUACAAAAAUUAGCCAGGCAUGGUGGCGGGUGCCUGUAGUUCCAGAAACUUGGGAGGCGGAAGCGGGAGAAUCAUUUGAACCUGGGAGGUGGAGGUUGCAGGGAGCCAAGAUCUUGCUACUGCACUCCAGCCUAGGUGACAAAGUGAGACUCCAUCUCAAAACAAAAACAAACCAGCAAACAAAAACAAAAAACUGGAAGGUUUUCAUCAACUCUGACUGAUAUGCUGGCAGAGCUGAGAUCCAAACCUAGGUCUUCUUUCUCCUGGUUCAGGACUCUUUGCACUGGAAUCCAAUAAAUAUUUGUUCAAUUAAAGGAAUAGUAAAGUGAGUUCACUCCAUUCAUUGGUUCCAACGUUAAUAAGAUGUUGUUUCAGAUUCCCAUCACCACCACCACCAACAACAAAUUAUCACCUAAUUGCAGCCUAGACUUCCUGCCAUCCAAGUGUCAAGCUCUAUCACAGGCUAUUAGAAUUGAGAGGGACUAUGGCCAGGCACGGCCGCUCAUACCUGUAAUCCCAGCACUUUGGGAGGCCGA
This 4245-nucleotide long non-coding RNA is filed under the name Homo sapiens (human). RNAcentral describes it as "HSALNT0169246". Lineage: Eukaryota; Metazoa; Chordata; Mammalia; Primates; Hominidae. The record is from RNAcentral.